Molecule: long non-coding RNA, 155 nt
Organism: Solanum verrucosum
Lineage: Eukaryota; Viridiplantae; Streptophyta; Magnoliopsida; Solanales; Solanaceae
Exons: 2
Source: RefSeq, a predicted model, not a curated record
CUUUCUUGCAAAGUUUCUAUAACAUUUGCUUAACUUCUUCUCUUUCCCAUUCUAUUUAUGUGAGUUUUAGCUUUGUUUUAUUGACAAACAAAGAUCAACUAGAAGUUUUGGUAGAUAAAGGAGGGGCUAAGAGAAAUAUAUAGAAGAUGUAUGUA